UAAGUAUAAACACUUUUAUACUCGUAAAACUGCGAAUGGCUCAUUAAAACAGUUAUCGUUCCUUUGGGAACUUUUGCUACUUGGAUAACCGUAGUAAUUCUAGAGCUAAUACAUGCCUGAACGCCCAACUCACGGAGGGCGGUAUUUAUUGGAUAAAAAACCAAUGCACUUCUUCGGUCGUGCCUUGAGAUGAUUCAUAAUAACUUGUCGGAUCGUAUGGCCUCGUGCCGGCGACCGCUCAUUCAAAUUUCUGCCCUAUCAACUUUCGAUGGUAGAGUAUUGGUCUACCAUGGUGUCGACGGGUGACGGGGAAUUAGGGUUCGAUUCCGGAGAGGGAGCCUGAGAAACGGCUACCACAUCCAAGGAAGGCAGCAGGCGCGCAAAUUACCCAAUCCCAACUCGGGUGU
This 407-nucleotide ribosomal RNA is filed under the name Wildemania miniata. RNAcentral's name for it is "SSU rRNA". It matches the Rfam family "Eukaryotic small subunit ribosomal RNA", at positions 60 to 462 of the family's 1831-position model. The record is from RNAcentral. Lineage: Eukaryota; Rhodophyta; Bangiophyceae; Bangiales; Bangiaceae.